Anguilla rostrata (American eel) is the source of this 548-nucleotide long non-coding RNA. RefSeq lists it as uncharacterized. NCBI's taxonomy places the organism in Eukaryota, Metazoa, Chordata, Actinopteri, Anguilliformes, Anguillidae. The record is from RefSeq and is a predicted model, not a curated record. The transcript is spliced from 4 exons.
UCGGAGUCGCCUUAAGGAUGAAGCUGUUAAACAUGCUGAGCUCAUCACUGCAGUCACUGCAGCAGACCAAGACUGCCGGGCAUUCCACCUACGGCUUUCACAUUCAAAACAACUGAAACAACGAAGUUUCUCUGCAGCUGAAUCGUCAUUCAUAAAUCUGGCUAUGCCAUGAUGUGUGGUGUCACUGGCCAUUGCUAAUGCUAACAUCUGUAGGGUGCUGAAAUCCUUCCCACGCAAAGAAACAAAAUUGGAUAAUGAGGGAUAACCCUGUGAAAAACCAUUCCAAAACAAAGGCAGAGCAGGAGCCCGGUCUCGUGUGUGGCGGCCGGGGAUGUCAGAAGCACGCUUUCACCCUCAAAGUGCCUUCGGCUACAAGAUAAGCCUCUCAGGCUCGCGGCGCUGCACCUUAAUGAUGAGUGAAGACACUAGGUCAGGUAUAUUACCUUAAAGGAGAGGCCCAGCUGCAGCAUGUUGCUACUCCAGGCUGUCUAACUGACUGAAUGAGGACAGCACUGUACACCGGAAAGAAAGAAAAACACCAGAGCAUG